Long non-coding RNA from Papaver somniferum (opium poppy), 3055 nucleotides. RefSeq lists it as uncharacterized. The transcript has 2 exons. Lineage: Eukaryota; Viridiplantae; Streptophyta; Magnoliopsida; Ranunculales; Papaveraceae. The record is from RefSeq and is a predicted model, not a curated record.
UCUUCUACUCCCACUACCUUCGACCUGAAACCACCAUAUAGUUCUUUUCCUUUUCCGUGGUCAGAAAAUCCUUAACCUACUUCAAUGCUUCAUCUUCUACUCCAUUGUUCCAAUCCUACAAAAGAAUCAUUCCCACUUUGUUCUCAAUUUUUCAUUUUUAAACCCUAACUGGUGUUCCCCCCUAAAAACCAUCAAAAUUGAACCAAUCGUUUCGAGUUUCCUCAUCUCUUCUUCAUUUUCUUCUUGAACGAAAACUUGAUAAGAUUAUAUUACGAAUCCUAGAUACUAAAAUUUCAUAUGGGUAAAGGAUUCCGAAAACUCUAGAUUGUUCCAUUUUUAUGUUUGGCAAUUUAAUUUGAUGAUUUUCAAGUUAUUUUGAAUUUAAUCGGUAUUAGUUUAAUUUUCUCAAUAAAGAUUGGUGGGAUUUGGUAAUUGCUGGAUUUGAUUUUAAAGGCAGAAGAGAAGAAGGUCGAUGGUGUUGGUUCUUCUUAAAUUUCUUCAGAAAAAUAUGAAGAACAUCGUAAAGAUUAGGGGGAUGAGUUUUCUAGAGAAAUUACAGGUAUGGGGUUUUCAUUUAUUUUUGCGUACCAUCUACUGUAUGUACUCAUGGGUUAUUGUUAUGAUUUAUGCAAUUUGAAUGCUGAUCUUUUUUUGUUGUGUUUUCCUUUUUGCUUUACAUUGAUAGUGGAUAUACAGUUAUUUCUGGAGAUGAUUCUUUGAAACUUUAGGAACAACAGUACUUCCAUUGUAAUAUGCUGUCGUCUGAGUUGGCAUCACCAUGAUCAAACAAUUCAUAUUCAUAGACUUUUGUUGCUUACUAGCAUUCUGCAUAUGCAAUAUCAUGGGUGAGAGAUACACUCCUUGUUUUUUGUCUCUAUUGAAUUAAAAACAUAUACAAAUGGAAUUAGCAGUCACUCAAAUCGAUUGAGCUGCCUUGCAAUAGGUUGUGAAGCCGAAACAGUCAGACUGACAAGGUACAAAUGUUGUUCUUUUAUUAAGUCCAAUUACUCCAAGGGUCUCAGAUACAAAAAUUUUGAUGCCUCCAAUAAUCUUCAUCUACACUUAUGUAUGAUCUUGAGCUGGUAGGAGAAUCGUGAUACAGGCAUACCCCUGCUUCUGAAUGUCUGUUUGCAUCAAAGUUGUUAGGAGAACAUUUAGGGGGUCAGAAGUAAGGUCAAUCAGUUUUGUGUCAAAGAAGUACUUUGCUGCAGUAGAUCAUACCUACAUAACUCAAGAGUGUGGAUCCAGUCUAGAUGAUAGGGACAAUCAGUUGUUGCUUAUAUCAGUUGGUGGAAAGCGGGUGUUAACUUCCUGGCUUCUUUAGUAUAGGUCUACAGACAAGGAAAAAACACUUGUCAAUGAGCUAAGCUACUAGUGGAAGUUUAAAAUAGAUCUAAACUGCAGUCAGAAAUACUCUCUUCAAUGUCCUUCCAGUGGCUGUCCACCAACAUGCCAUCAAGGUUUUUCAUCUUUUGACAAUUAUAUACUUGUGAUCCUUUUGUACAUAUCCAAGGUAUGUAUGUAAUCUAUGGACACAUGUUUGGUUAUAGUCGUACUUUAAUCUUCUCUAGAUUGAUUUUAUUUCCGCAUCAAAAAACAUGUCGUUUUCCCUGUAUUGCCUCUUAAGUCUCAACUCGUAUCAGCAUUAUUUUAUUUUUUGCAGAGUACGUACACCUGGUGCAUCUGUUGCAACAAACAUAUAUUUCAGCCGUGUUCAACUUGCAACUCUCUCGUGUGAUACAUUAAUUCACCCUUUCAAAAAAUAUAUAUGCCUCUCAAAGUAAAUAAAGUGGUUCUUCAGUCUUACACUUCAUUCAGAAGAAGGAAUCAGAAAUUCCUUAGUACAAGUUCCAAACUUUUUAGAUUUUUGUUCCAAUAGAAAAUACUAGUUCUCAUUCUAAGUUGGCGUAUAUACUGAUUUUGAUUGGUGGUUUUAGACUGCUGGCCGAGUGUCGGACAAGUCUUGAGGGUAUACUUUGGGGGACAAAAGAAUUAUUGUUGCAUGCAAAUAAAUUGUUGGUUCUUCUCUAGCUAUUGAUGGUCCCGUUCAAGGUAGAUAUACUCAUCUUCUAUGUAUUUCAAUGUUGUAAGUUUUUGGUAUUCCAGAUUUAUGUUCUCUAGGAUAUUCAAGUAGUCAUUAAAGUUUCCUUUUAUAAUUGAGGUAUGUAAGGAUACAAAUGCUACCUUUAAACCCAUAAGGCUACAACUUUCGGACUUGGAGAGAUCACAGAGAACUUUGAUUGUCUUAAUCCAUGGUUUCAGUGCUUUCAGAUUUCACUGGAGGUUCAUAUUUUUAUUUUUCAUUUCCUUAAAAUUGCUUAUGGAUGAGUAAAUAUAUGCAGACUAUUUGAACGUAGAAGAGCGCAUCUCUAUUUACAGAGCUUCAAUGAAUUUAUGGGAGCCAAUGCUAUCGCUGAUUCUUUCUGAUUUUGCUAUGAAAAAAUUGCAACUUCUAGAGUUUGUUCUGAAGUCAUAACUUAACAUCACCUUAUCUAUAAAUAGAUGGAUUAGUUUUUGGUUAGUGAUUGACUCAUUGUACCUACUUACUGUUUAAGGACUGAUUUUGGUUGUAUAAUCUUGUAAUGUAUAGUUCAGGUAUGCCAGUUACCAUGUGAGCAGACGCAGCAUACCAAAGUUUGCUAACAAUUACAAAGUGUAUGUUGUAGACUUAUCGGGAUUUGGUUGGAGUGACAUCAUGAAGUGGUAUAGAAAGGGUUGAAUGCAUUUUACUGAUUACGGCUACUUCCAUGGUAAGCUCAGGUGGCAGAUAAGGUGGUUGAUCUUUAUCUUUUUAUGCUAAAAUGCGAAGUGAAGAUUUCAUGUAUUCCCCUUUAUAUCCUCGAUUCAAGGUUAAAGACAAAAGGGAUGUAUGUCUUAUUAGUACUUCUUAAAGUUCAGGGGAAAAUGUUAAUCUUGUUUUCAGUGCAUAUUCACACCUGAAACUGUUCUAAUUCUAGUACCGUAUGUCAAGUCAUGUUUUUGUUUUGUUUCAUGUCGAAUUGACGAUUAUGUAAUUUGACAGCUUAAUAAUUUAUAUUUGAAUCUUCUGGAUGUA